RNAcentral lists this transfer RNA (83 nucleotides) under Cronobacter dublinensis 582. RNAcentral's name for it is "tRNA-Leu-CAG". It matches the Rfam family "tRNA". From Rfam's summary of the family: Transfer RNA (tRNA) molecules are approximately 80 nucleotides in length. The record is from RNAcentral. RNAcentral also lists the same sequence under 1 other name. Lineage: Bacteria; Pseudomonadati; Pseudomonadota; Gammaproteobacteria; Enterobacterales; Enterobacteriaceae.
GCGAAGGUGGCGGAAUUGGUAGACGCGCUAGCUUCAGGUGUUAGUGUCCUUUAAGGGUGGGGGUUCAAGUCCCCCCCCUCGCA